UACGGGGGGAGCAAGCGUUGUUCGGAUUUACUGGGCGUAAAGGGCGCGUAGGCGGCCACCGCAAGUCGGUUGUGAAAUCUCUGGGCUUAACCCAGAAAGGUCAACCGAUACUGCGGGGCUAGAGUGCAGAAGGGGCAACUGGAAUUCUCGGUGUAGCGGUGAAAUGCGUAGAUAUCAGGAGGAACACCGGUGGCGAAGGCGGAUCUCUGGGCCUUACCUGACGCUGAGGCGCGAAAGCUAGGGGAGCAAACAGG
RNAcentral lists this ribosomal RNA (254 nucleotides) under uncultured bacterium. RNAcentral's name for it is "partial 16S ribosomal RNA". It matches the Rfam family "Bacterial small subunit ribosomal RNA", at positions 524 to 776 of the family's 1533-position model. The record is from RNAcentral.